ACCAGGGCGCCCAGGGUCACCCGGUUCUGCUUGGACAGCUUCCCCCGCACCAGCGUCACGAUGUCGUCGAUCUGCGUGUUGUUCUGCUCCAGGCUGUGUAGGGAGGUCGGACAGGUCUGCUCCUGGCCACGCUCUUGUGCUUCGCCCUGACCUUUUGGCCCUUGGAGAUGGCCUCAUGAAUGUCCUUGGUCCAGUACACCUGCGAGACGCACAGCACCGUCUGUCCCGGCCACGCCCGGACCCAGUUGAUACGCAGGUCCUUGGGCUGUUAUCAGUAACGCUACGGGGAGUUCACAGCUACCAGUAGCCCUGUAAUGACAGUGAGUGCCGACGGAGCCGACCGUGGAGGUGCUACCUUCUGCAGGGACUUCAGCAUGCCGCACUCCAGUUCCAGCAGCCACUUCUCCACCUGGCCGCGGGCCUUGGAGGUGGAGAUGAUGUCCUCCAGCUUCACCACCUCCCCCUCGCUGCUCUUCAUGUGGGUGAUGUCCAGCACAUCGGUGAACUGCACGCUGGCGAUGCCCUCGAAGCACUUCUUCAGGAGGAAGCAUUCCCACACACGGUCCCACAGAGCAGUGACCUACAGAGUUGAGUAAGCAUUAGACACCCACGUGCUCCCAGGCACAACAGCAGCAGCCCAUCAAGGACCUGAACCCAGGAACCCAGACCAGACCCUGAGGCAAUGUACAGUAAUAACACAAGUGGGAGAAUCCUGCACCAAGGAUCUCCAGCAGCUCGUCAUUGGACAGGAAGAAGAAGCGUGGGAAAUAAAGGCGUUUCUUCUCCAGGUACUCGUUCAGGCCCUUCAGAAUCAGCUCCAGGAGCUCGUUGGACUUCUUUAGCUUCUCCAGC
Molecule: long non-coding RNA, 852 nt
Organism: Anguilla anguilla (European eel)
Lineage: Eukaryota; Metazoa; Chordata; Actinopteri; Anguilliformes; Anguillidae
Exons: 6
Source: RefSeq, a predicted model, not a curated record